Molecule: ribosomal RNA, 468 nt
Filed under: uncultured bacterium
Lineage: Bacteria
Description: partial 16S ribosomal RNA
Rfam family: Bacterial small subunit ribosomal RNA
Source: RNAcentral
GACGAACGCUGGCGGCGUGCUUAACACAUGCAAGUCGAACGGAAAGGCCCUGCUUUUGUGGGGUGCUCGAGUGGCGAACGGGUGAUUAACACGUGAGUAACCUGCCCUUGACUUUGGGAUAACUUCAGGAAACUGGGGCUAAUACCGGAUAGGAGCUCCUGCUGCAUGGUGGGGGUUGGAAAUUUUCGGCGGUUGGGGAUGGACUCGCGGCUUAUCAGCUUGUUGGUGGGGUAGUGGCUUACCAAGUCUUUGACGGGUAGCCGGCCUGAGAGGGUGACCGGCGACAUGGGGACUGAGAGACGGCGCAGACUCCUACGGGAGGCAGCAGGGGGGAAUAUUGCACAAUGGGCGGAAGCCUGAUGCAGCAACGCCGCGUGCGGGAUGACGGCCUUCGGGUUGUAAACCGCUUUCGCCUGUGACGAAGCGUGAGUGACGGUAAUGGGUAAAGAAGCACCGGCUAACUACGUG